CCAUCAGUGUUUUUUUGUUUGUUUGUUUGUUUGUGUUUUUUUUGCGACAGAGUCUUGCUCUGUUACCAAGGCUGGAGCGCAGUGGCAUGAUCUCGGCUCACUGCAACCUCCGCCUCCCAGGUUCAAGUGAUUCUCGUGCUUCAGCCUCCCGAGUAGCUGGGAUUACAGGCAUGUGUCACCAUGCCAGACUAAUUUUCGUAUUUUUAGUAGAGAUGGGGUUUCGCCAUGUUGACCAGGCUGGUCUCAAACUCCUGGGUCCAAGUGAUCCGCCUGUCUUGGCCUCCCAAAGUGCUGGGAUUACAGCCGUGAGCCACCAUGCCUGGCCUGUAACUCCAUCAGUUUUGAUCCCAAGAUAUCUUUUUCAGACUGACUCAUACCUCACAAAAUAAUUCUUAUCUAAAUGAAAAAUGUUUUCUUUUGUAUCUUGAAUUUUUAAUGAUAAACCAGACAGGAAGUUUCUGGGCAUUUCUCCUUAUGUAUUGCCUAUAUGCUGUAAGCGGAUUCAUAUUGUGUAUAUCAGUGGUUUCUACGCUUAAAACAAACAUCUGGUAGCAGGUACAGGGCAGAUAUUGCCAUUUCAUGUUGUGUAUCAUGACUCCAUGUGAUAUUUGACAAAGAAUUCUGCCAAUAGCUUUGUUACACUUUUUUUUUUUUUUUUUUUUUUUUAGAUUGAGUCUCGCUCUGUCACCCAGGCUGGAGUGCAGUGGCCCAAUCGAUCCCAGCUCACUGCAACCUCCACCUUCCAGGUUCAAGCGACUCUCCUGCCUCAGCCUCCUGAGUAGCUAGGACUACAGGCGUGUGCCAACACGCCCAGCUCAUUUUUGUAUUUUUAGUAGAGAUGGGGUUUCACCAUAUUGGCCAGGCUGGUCUUGAACUUCUGAUCUCAGAUGAUCCUCCUGCCUUGACCUCCCAAAGUGCUGGAAUUACAGGCGUGAGCCACUGCACCCAGCCAGCUUUGUUGCACUGUCUCCAAACAGAAUAUGUUAUUAACUUUGUAGCUAGUUGUGUAAGCAGCUCUAUAACAAAAUGAUUUCUACCAAUUUUUUUCUACAGAAAUGUAACUUGAUCUCUUUUAACCACAAAAUGUAUCCACAUCAUACAGGAAAACAUUUUGCAUUUAUUCUGGAAAAAUCCAUUUUACUUGGUAAAGAAGCUACAGCAUUUUUUUUUUUUUUUUUUUGAGAUGGAGUCUUGCUCUGUCGCCCAGGCUGGAGUGCAGGGGCACCUCGGUUCACUGCAACCUCUGCCUCCCAGGUUCAAGCGAUUCUCCUGCCUCAGCCUCCCAAGAAGCUGGGAUUACAGGCAUGCGCCACCACGCCCGGCUAAUUUUGUAUUUUUAGUAGAGACGGGGUUUCGCCAUGUUGGCCAGGCUGGUUUCGAACCCCUGGCCACAGGUGAUCCGGCCGCCUCGGCCUCCCAAAGUGCUGGGAUUACAGACGCGAGCCACCGC
RNAcentral lists this long non-coding RNA (1450 nucleotides) under Homo sapiens (human). RNAcentral's name for it is "HSALNT0295705". Lineage: Eukaryota; Metazoa; Chordata; Mammalia; Primates; Hominidae. The record is from RNAcentral.